Molecule: ribosomal RNA, 1573 nt
Filed under: Lactobacillus crispatus
Lineage: Bacteria; Bacillati; Bacillota; Bacilli; Lactobacillales; Lactobacillaceae
Description: bacterial SSU rRNA
Rfam family: Bacterial small subunit ribosomal RNA
Source: RNAcentral
UUAAAAUGAGAGUUUGAUCCUGGCUCAGGACGAACGCUGGCGGCGUGCCUAAUACAUGCAAGUCGAGCGAGCGGAACUAACAGAUUUACUUCGGUAAUGACGUUAGGAAAGCGAGCGGCGGAUGGGUGAGUAACACGUGGGGAACCUGCCCCAUAGUCUGGGAUACCACUUGGAAACAGGUGCUAAUACCGGAUAAGAAAGCAGAUCGCAUGAUCAGCUUUUAAAAGGCGGCGUAAGCUGUCGCUAUGGGAUGGCCCCGCGGUGCAUUAGCUAGUUGGUAAGGUAAAGGCUUACCAAGGCGAUGAUGCAUAGCCGAGUUGAGAGACUGAUCGGCCACAUUGGGACUGAGACACGGCCCAAACUCCUACGGGAGGCAGCAGUAGGGAAUCUUCCACAAUGGACGCAAGUCUGAUGGAGCAACGCCGCGUGAGUGAAGAAGGUUUUCGGAUCGUAAAGCUCUGUUGUUGGUGAAGAAGGACAGAGGUAGUAACUGGCCUUUAUUUGACGGUAAUCAACCAGAAAGUCACGGCUAACUACGUGCCAGCAGCCGCGGUAAUACGUAGGUGGCAAGCGUUGUCCGGAUUUAUUGGGCGUAAAGCGAGCGCAGGCGGAAGAAUAAGUCUGAUGUGAAAGCCCUCGGCUUAACCGAGGAACUGCAUCGGAAACUGUUUUUCUUGAGUGCAGAAGAGGAGAGUGGAACUCCAUGUGUAGCGGUGGAAUGCGUAGAUAUAUGGAAGAACACCAGUGGCGAAGGCGGCUCUCUGGUCUGCAACUGACGCUGAGGCUCGAAAGCAUGGGUAGCGAACAGGAUUAGAUACCCUGGUAGUCCAUGCCGUAAACGAUGAGUGCUAAGUGUUGGGAGGUUUCCGCCUCUCAGUGCUGCAGCUAACGCAUUAAGCACUCCGCCUGGGGAGUACGACCGCAAGGUUGAAACUCAAAGGAAUUGACGGGGGCCCGCACAAGCGGUGGAGCAUGUGGUUUAAUUCGAAGCAACGCGAAGAACCUUACCAGGUCUUGACAUCUAGUGCCAUUUGUAGAGAUACAAAGUUCCCUUCGGGGACGCUAAGACAGGUGGUGCAUGGCUGUCGUCAGCUCGUGUCGUGAGAUGUUGGGUUAAGUCCCGCAACGAGCGCAACCCUUGUUAUUAGUUGCCAGCAUUAAGUUGGGCACUCUAAUGAGACUGCCGGUGACAAACCGGAGGAAGGUGGGGAUGACGUCAAGUCAUCAUGCCCCUUAUGACCUGGGCUACACACGUGCUACAAUGGGCAGUACAACGAGAAGCGAGCCUGCGAAGGCAAGCGAAUCUCUGAAAGCUGUUCUCAGUUCGGACUGCAGUCUGCAACUCGACUGCACGAAGCUGGAAUCGCUAGUAAUCGCGGAUCAGCACGCCGCGGUGAAUACGUUCCCGGGCCUUGUACACACCGCCCGUCACACCAUGGGAGUCUGCAAUGCCCAAAGCCGGUGGCCUAACCUUCGGGAAGGAGCCGUCUAAGGCAGGGCAGAUGACUGGGGUGAAGUCGUAACAAGGUAGCCGUAGGAGAACCUGCGGCUGGAUCACCUCCUUUCUAAGGAA